Molecule: ribosomal RNA, 480 nt
Filed under: uncultured bacterium
Lineage: Bacteria
Description: partial 16S ribosomal RNA
Rfam family: Bacterial small subunit ribosomal RNA
Source: RNAcentral
GACGAGCGCUGGCGGCGUGCUUAACACAUGCAAGUCGAACGAUGAAGUUCCUUCGGGAAUGGAUUAGUGGCGAACGGGUGAGGAACACGUGAGAAACCUGCCUUUCAUUUUGGGAUAACUCCGGGAAACCGGGGCUAAAACCGAAUACUCCGUCUCGGCGGCAUCGCUGAGCCGGGAAAAAAUUUUGAUGAAAGAUGGUCUCGCGGCCUAUCAGCUAGUUGGUGAGGUAAUGGCUCACCAAGGCAACGACGGGUAGCCGGCCUGAGAGGGCGACCGGCCAGACUGGGACUGAGACACGGCCCAGACUCCUACGGGAGGCAGCAGUGGGGAAUAUUGGGCAAUGGGCGCAAGCCUGACCCAGCGACGCCGCGUGAGGGAUGAAGGCCUUCGGGUUGUAAACCUCUUUCAGUAGGGAAGAAGCGAAAGUGACGGUACCUAAAGAAGAAGCACCGGCUAACUAUGUGCCAGCCGCCGCGGUAA